Molecule: unclassified non-coding RNA, 2009 nt
Filed under: uncultured fungus
Lineage: Eukaryota; Fungi
Description: sequence contains 18S rRNA gene, ITS1, 5.8S rRNA gene, ITS2, 28S rRNA gene
Source: RNAcentral
UGUUGAACAGCUUUCGACCCAAAUACCAGUUCGUGUUGCUGCCAGUGGCUUUUCUCUUGCUCCUCCCGCUAGGGCUGCUUGCUGAGGACCAUGUGGUUUCGCCUGCCGAGCUUCGGAAAGAAGUCUUGGCGGCUGACCAGGCCCGGACGAAGCAUCUCAAGCAAGUCCAGGACUUCUUCAACUCGGAGCACGUCCGCGAGGCCUUGAAAAGUCUUCCGGUGGAUACCUCCAAAGUCCAACGCGCGGUCCCCUCGCUGAGCGACGAAGAGCUUGCGCGACUGGCCCAGCGCACGGAGAAGGUCCAGGAAGAUUUCGCCGCGGGCGCCCUGUCCAACUUGCACCUGACUUAUAUCGUCAUCGCGCUGGCGGCGGCCGUCCUGGUUGUGGUUUUGAGUUAGAGGACUCAUGUCGCGGGCGUGGGUGCGAUCUUUCGCGAUGGUGCUUGGUUUCGCCGGCUUCAACCUGGCUGCCCGGCCACCGUCGGCUGUCUGGCUGGAUGUGCCCUUUGUCAGACAGGAAAAAAACGGCUGCGGCGCGGCCAGCGUGGCGAUGGUCAUGCAGUAUUGGAUCCGGGAAGGUUUCUACUUUUUCCUCCGCUGGAAAGCGCCGAACCGCACAGAGUUCACGCCGCGCUUUACUCGCCGGGGGCGAAUGGCGCCUUUGCCAGCAGCCUCGAUUCUUACUUGCGCGAUCACGAAUUCCAGACAUUCAUCUUCCGGGGAGAUUGGGCCGAACUCGAGCGCCAUGUCGCUAAAGGACGUCCCCUGAUUGUCUGCCUGCAACCCGGAGGCCGGGAAGAUCAACGGCACUUUCUAGUCGUUGUCGGUGUUGACGACCGACGUGCUUUGGUUCUCGUCAACGAUCCGGCUCGGCGCAAGCUGACUAAACUGAGGCGACAGAAUUUCGAGGAGGAAUGGAAAGCCGCAGACUCCUGGACUCUCCUGGCUCUGCCCGCGGUGGACCGAUAGCUGUCCUCGCGGCCGCUCUGUGCAUUUCUCUCUGGUUGCCAUUCUCCAUUCAUGCCCAGGACCUUCCCGUCGAACCGGGAAUCGUUUCUACGGCGAAGCAUCUCUAUUCUGAAAGACGCUGGGACGAACUCGCCCGACUGACGGAGGCCUCGUCCGGACACCCUGCCGAGGUGGACUUCCUGGGGGGCUUGGCGCUGGCGCGGCUCGAGCGCUGGGACGAAGCUCGCCAGGUCUUCGAGCGUGGGCGGCGCAAGGAAUCCGGCGACAAGAGAUUUUCGAUCGAAUUAGCCGGGGUCGCCUUCAAACAAAAGAGGAAUUCCGAAGCCAAAGCGGCGCUGCGGGAGGCGCUGAAGCUCGACCCGCGGGACAAGUAUGCGAAUGAUUUUCUCGCCACGAUAUACCUGCUGGAAGGCAAUCUCGAAGCGGCGUUGAAAUACUGGAAUCGCGUCGAGAAGCCGGAAAUCGAGGCGGUGAAAGUGGAGCCGGAGCCGCGGGUAGACCCCGUACUGUUUGACCGGGCAUUCGCAUUUUCGUCCGCGAGCAUUCUGCGACUGGAAGAGCUUCGGAGCACCGAGGCGGGCGUCGAUCUCCUCGACGUUUUCCGCCGAUGGCGGUUCGACCUCGAGCCCGCGCAGGGGAGAACGUUUUGACCUGGUCUUCCGAUCCUCGGAAAGGAGCGGCUUGGAACGCCGCAAUUGGACCGCGUUCCUUUCCGCCCUCCGCGGCCUGCCUUACCAGACAGUCUAUCCGGAAUUGAUAAACUUAAACCGUUCGGCCACGAAUUUCACUUCGAUGCUGCGCUGGGACGCGCAGAAGCGCCGCGCCUUCGCUUCCAUUGCCGCACCGCUCGGAGGAAACCCGAAAUGGCGUUACCAGUUUCAUGUCGACGCCCGAAGGGAGAAUUGGGACCUCAGGGAUACUUAUGCGGGAUCCAUCGUCGGCCCGCUGGGCCUGAACAUGCAGACGUUCGAGGCCGGUGCCGAAAUUGAGUCCCGCCCCAGCGGCCGUUGGGGAUGGAGCAGUGCGAUUCUCAUUUCGCAA